This 1333-nucleotide ribosomal RNA is filed under the name Parabacteroides distasonis. Its description in RNAcentral is "bacterial SSU rRNA". It matches the Rfam family "Bacterial small subunit ribosomal RNA", at positions 89 to 1423 of the family's 1533-position model. The record is from RNAcentral. Lineage: Bacteria; Pseudomonadati; Bacteroidota; Bacteroidia; Bacteroidales; Tannerellaceae.
CGGCGACCGGCGCACGGGUGAGUAACGCGUAUGCAACUUACCUAUCAGAGGGGGAUAACCCGGCGAAAGUCGGACUAAUACCGCAUGAAGCAGGGGCCCCGCAUGGGGAUAUUUGCUAAAGAUUCAUCGCUGAUAGAUAGGCAUGCGUUCCAUUAGGCAGUUGGCGGGGUAACGGCCCACCAAACCGACGAUGGAUAGGGGUUCUGAGAGGAAGGUCCCCCACAUUGGUACUGAGACACGGACCAAACUCCUACGGGAGGCAGCAGUGAGGAAUAUUGGUCAAUGGCCGAGAGGCUGAACCAGCCAAGUCGCGUGAGGGAUGAAGGUUCUAUGGAUCGUAAACCUCUUUUAUAAGGGAAUAAAGUGCGGGACGUGUCCCGUUUUGUAUGUACCUUAUGAAUAAGGAUCGGCUAACUCCGUGCCAGCAGCCGCGGUAAUACGGAGGAUCCGAGCGUUAUCCGGAUUUAUUGGGUUUAAAGGGUGCGUAGGCGGCCUUUUAAGUCAGCGGUGAAAGUCUGUGGCUCAACCAUAGAAUUGCCGUUGAAACUGGGGGGCUUGAGUAUGUUUGAGGCAGGCGGAAUGCGUGGUGUAGCGGUGAAAUGCAUAGAUAUCACGCAGAACCCCGAUUGCGAAGGCAGCCUGCCAAGCCAUUACUGACGCUGAUGCACGAAAGCGUGGGGAUCAAACAGGAUUAGAUACCCUGGUAGUCCACGCAGUAAACGAUGAUCACUAGCUGUUUGCGAUACACUGUAAGCGGCACAGCGAAAGCGUUAAGUGAUCCACCUGGGGAGUACGCCGGCAACGGUGAAACUCAAAGGAAUUGACGGGGGCCCGCACAAGCGGAGGAACAUGUGGUUUAAUUCGAUGAUACGCGAGGAACCUUACCCGGGUUUGAACGCAUUCGGACCGAGGUGGAAACACCUUUUCUAGCAAUAGCCGUUUGCGAGGUGCUGCAUGGUUGUCGUCAGCUCGUGCCGUGAGGUGUCGGCUUAAGUGCCAUAACGAGCGCAACCCUUGCCACUAGUUACUAACAGGUAAAGCUGAGGACUCUGGUGGGACUGCCAGCGUAAGCUGCGAGGAAGGCGGGGAUGACGUCAAAUCAGCACGGCCCUUACAUCCGGGGCGACACACGUGUUACAAUGGCGUGGACAAAGGGAAGCCACCUGGCGACAGGGAGCGAAUCCCCAAACCACGUCUCAGUUCGGAUCGGAGUCUGCAACCCGACUCCGUGAAGCUGGAUUCGCUAGUAAUCGCGCAUCAGCCAUGGCGCGGUGAAUACGUUCCCGGGCCUUGUACACACCGCCCGUCAAGCCAUGGGAGCCGGGGGUACCUG